RNAcentral lists this ribosomal RNA (400 nucleotides) under uncultured bacterium. RNAcentral describes it as "bacterial SSU rRNA". It matches the Rfam family "Bacterial small subunit ribosomal RNA", at positions 355 to 748 of the family's 1533-position model. The record is from RNAcentral.
UGGGGAAUAUUGGACAAUGGGCGCAAGCCUGAUCCAGCAAUACCGCGUGUGUGAAGAAGGCCUGAGGGUUGUAAAGCACUUUCACUGGGGAGGAAAACGUUAAGGUUAAUACCCUUAUAAUUGACAUUACCCAGAGAAGAAGCACCGGCUAACUCCGUGCCAGCAGCCGCGGUAAUACGGAGGGUGCGAGCGUUAAUCGGAAUUACUGGGCGUAAAGCGUGCGUAGGUGGUGCGUUAAGUUAGAUGUGAAAGCCCUGGGCUUAACCUGGGAAUGGCAUUUAAAACUGGCGUGCUAGAGUUAGGUAGAGGGGAGUGGAAUUUCAGGUGUAGCGGUGAAAUGCGUAGAGAUCUGAAGGAACACCAGUGGCGAAGGCGGCUCCCUGGACCCAAACUGACGCUG